RNAcentral lists this ribosomal RNA (933 nucleotides) under uncultured bacterium. Its description in RNAcentral is "bacterial SSU rRNA". It matches the Rfam family "Bacterial small subunit ribosomal RNA", at positions 8 to 916 of the family's 1533-position model. The record is from RNAcentral.
AGAGUUUGAUCAUGGCUCAGAACUAACGCUGGCGGCGUGCCUAACACAUGCAAGUCGUACGAGAAAGUUGGCUUCGGCCGAUGAGUAAAGUGGCGCACGGGUGAGUAACGCGUGGAUAAUCUACCCCUCAGUUGGGAAUAACUCAUCGAAAGGUGGGCUAAUACCGAAUAAUACUGCAUGACUUCUGUUGUGUAGUCAAAGAUGGCCUUUGCUUGCAAGCUAUCGCUGAAGGAUGAGUCCGCGUACCAUUAGCUAGUUGGUAGGGUAAUGGCCUACCAAGGCAACGAUGGUUAGCUGGUCUGAGAGGAUGAUCAGCCACACUGGAACUGAGACACGGUCCAGACUCCUACGGGAGGCAGCAGUGAGGAAUAUUGCGCAAUGGGGGCAACCCUGACGCAGCAACGCCGCGUGAGUGAGGAAGGUUUUCGGACCGUAAAGCUCUGUCGAGCGGGAAGAAAUGCAUAGUGGCUAAUAUCCAUUAUGCUUGACGGUACCGCUAAAGGAAGCACCGGCUAACUCCGUGCCAGCAGCCGCGGUAAUACGGGGGGUGCUAGCGUUGUUCGGAAUCAUUGGGCGUAAAGAGCGUGUAGGCGGCUGGAUAAGUCAGAUGUGAAAGCCCUGGGCUUAACCCAGGAAGUGCAUUUGAAACUGUUCAGCUUGAGUAAGGGAGAGGAAAGUGGAAUUCCUGGUGUAGAGGUGAAAUUCGUAGAUAUCAGGAGGAACACCGGUGGCGAAGGCGACUUUCUGGCCCUAUACUGACGCUGAGACGCGAGAGCGUGGCUAGCAAACAGGAUUAGAUACCCUGGUAGUCCACGCUGUAAACGAUGUUCACUAGGUGUUGGGGGUAUUGACCCUCUCAGUGCCGCAGCUAACGCAUUAAGUGAACCGCCUGGAGAGUACGGUCGCAAGAUUAAAACUCAAAGGAAUUGACGG